AACCAUUCUAACUGCGCAUCUUAUGGAUGACAAAUCAGAAGCACAAAGAAGGGAGGUGUUUGGCUCAGUAUCGCUCAGCAGUCCAAUAAACAUAUCCUUGGAUGAUGAUUUAAAAACAAUAAAGUGCCCAAACUCCUUGGGAAGGCAGAAGAGAGCUUCACUGAGAAGAUGGGAUAGAACUGGACGUUAAGGAUGAUUUUGAGAGAUGCAGCUCAGUGCUGGCUAGAGUCCGUGGAGUCAAGUUCAAGUGGGGCCCAAAUUCCGCUUAGUUUGGGAGCAUUG
Long non-coding RNA from Artibeus jamaicensis (Jamaican fruit-eating bat), 282 nucleotides. RefSeq lists it as uncharacterized. NCBI's taxonomy places the organism in Eukaryota, Metazoa, Chordata, Mammalia, Chiroptera, Phyllostomidae. The record is from RefSeq and is a predicted model, not a curated record. The transcript is spliced from 3 exons.